This 469-nucleotide ribosomal RNA is filed under the name uncultured bacterium. Its description in RNAcentral is "bacterial SSU rRNA". It matches the Rfam family "Bacterial small subunit ribosomal RNA", at positions 365 to 824 of the family's 1533-position model. The record is from RNAcentral.
UUCGCAAUGCCCGAAAGGGUGACGAAGCGACGCCGCGUGGGUGAAGAAGGCCUUCGGGUUGUAAAACCCUGUCAGGAGUUAUGAAAUGUAAGUGCGCUAAUAUCGUGCUUAUUUGACAAAGGCUCCAAAGGAAGCCACGGCUAACUCUGUGCCAGCAGCCGCGGUAAUACAGAGGUGGCGAGCGUUGUUCGGAAUUAUUGGGCGUAAAGAGCACGUAGGUGGGUUUGCAAGUCAGAUGUGAAAGCCUUCUGUUCAACGGGAGAAUUGCAUCUGAAACUGCUAAUCUUGAGUAUAGGAGGGGAGAAUGGAACUUCUGGUGGAGCGGUGAAAUGCGUAGAUAUCAGAAGGAACGCCGGCGGCGAAAGCGAUUCUCUGGCCUAUUACUGACACUCAGUGUGCGAAAGCUAGGGGAGCAAACGGGAUUAGAUACCCCGGCAGUCCUAGCCGUAAACGAUGGGCACUAAGUAGA